This 439-nucleotide ribosomal RNA is filed under the name uncultured bacterium. RNAcentral describes it as "partial 16S ribosomal RNA". It matches the Rfam family "Bacterial small subunit ribosomal RNA", at positions 339 to 795 of the family's 1533-position model. The record is from RNAcentral.
CUACGGGGUGCUGCAGUGGGGAAUAUUGGACAAUGGGCGCAAGCCUGAUCCAGCAAUGCCGCGUGAGUGAAGACGGCCUUAGGGUUGUAAAACUCUUUCGCUAGGGAAGAUAAUGACUGUACCUAGUAAAGAAGUCCCGGCUAACUCCGUGCCAGCAGCCGCGGUAAUACGGAGGGGACUAGCGUUGUUCGGAAUUACUGGGCGUAAAGAGUUCAUAGGCGGACUGACAGGUUAGAGGUGAAAUCCCAGGGCUCAACCCUGGAACUGCCUUUAAAACUGUCAGUCUAGAGACCGGAAGAGGUUAGGGGAAUACCUAGUGUAGAGGUGAAAUUCGUAGAUAUUAGGUGGAACACCAGUGGCGAAGGCGCCUAACUGGUCCGGUACUGACGCUGAGGAACGAAAGCGUGGGGAGCAAACAGGAUUAGAUACCCCCGUAGUC